CGCUGGCGGCGUGCUUAACACAUGCAAGUCGAACGGGAUCCCUGGCGCUUGCNCCGGGGUGAGAGUGGCGAACGGGUGAGUAUGCGUGACCAACCUGCCCCAUGCACCGGAAUAGCUCCUGGAAACGGGUGGUAAUGCCGGAUGCUCCAGAUGACCGCAUGGGAUUCUGGGAAAGCUUUUGCGGCAUGGGAUGGGGUCGCGUCCUAUCAGCUUGUUGGUGGGGUGAUGGCCCACCAAGGCUUCGACGGGUAGCCGGCCUGAGAGGGCGACCGGCCACAUUGGGACUGAGAUACGGCCCAGACUCCUACGGGAGGCAGCAGUGGGGAAUAUUGCGCAAUGGGCGAAAGCCUGACGCAGCGACGCCGCGUGCGGGAUGGAGGCCUUCGGGUUGUAAACCGCUUUUAUCGGGGAGCAAGCGAGAGUGAGUGUACCCGUUGAAUAAGCACCGGCUAACUACGUGCCAGCAGCCGCGG
RNAcentral lists this ribosomal RNA (473 nucleotides) under Bifidobacterium pullorum subsp. saeculare. RNAcentral describes it as "bacterial SSU rRNA". It matches the Rfam family "Bacterial small subunit ribosomal RNA", at positions 34 to 520 of the family's 1533-position model. Lineage: Bacteria; Bacillati; Actinomycetota; Actinomycetes; Bifidobacteriales; Bifidobacteriaceae. The record is from RNAcentral.